RNAcentral lists this ribosomal RNA (380 nucleotides) under uncultured eukaryote. RNAcentral describes it as "partial 18S ribosomal RNA". It matches the Rfam family "Eukaryotic small subunit ribosomal RNA", at positions 592 to 976 of the family's 1831-position model. The record is from RNAcentral.
CAAUAGCGUAUAUUAAAGUUGUUGCAGUUAAAAAGCUCGUAGUUGGAUUUGUGGCGUACGGUGUGUUCCGGGCACUUGUUGUCUGAGUAACCUGCAGUUGCCAUCCUUGGGUGGAACCUGUGUGGCAUUAGGUUGUCGUGCAGGGGAUGCCCAUCAUUUACUGUGAAAAAAUUAGAGUGUUCAAAGCAGGCUUAUGCCGUUGAAUAUAUUAGCAUGGAAUAAUGAGAUAGGACUUUUUUGCUAUUUUGUUGGUUUGCGCAAAGAGGUAAUGAUUAAUAGGGACAGUUGGGGGUAUUCGUAUUCCAUUGUCAGAGGUGAAAUUCUUGGAUUUUUGGAAGACGAACUACUGCGAAAGCAUUUACCAAGGAUGUUUUCAUUAA